GAACAAAAAAAGGCCGGCUACUCCCGCAAUAUUUUUUAUACACUUUCAAACUCUAAAGGUUGCUAGGGCUGCAAGGGGAUUGGGUUGAUCUCCGAAAUUAGCCCAGUCCAACCUAAAAUGAAGUUAUUUGAAUUAGCCCAGAUUUGAAAAUAUAAUCUAUUUUUGAUAUGGACUGAAUUUGGAUUCUUAAGUUCCAAUUAGAAUC
RNAcentral lists this long non-coding RNA (205 nucleotides) under Elaeis guineensis (African oil palm). RNAcentral describes it as "long non-coding RNA (EGUI_LNC080147)". Lineage: Eukaryota; Viridiplantae; Streptophyta; Magnoliopsida; Arecales; Arecaceae. The record is from RNAcentral.